This 404-nucleotide ribosomal RNA is filed under the name uncultured bacterium. Its description in RNAcentral is "partial 16S ribosomal RNA". It matches the Rfam family "Bacterial small subunit ribosomal RNA", at positions 30 to 526 of the family's 1533-position model. The record is from RNAcentral.
AUUGAACGCUGGCGGCAGGCCUAACACAUGCAAGUCGAGCGAGCGGCGGACGGGUGAGUAAUGCCUGGGAAUUGCCCAGUCGAGGGGGAUCACCUUUGGAAACGACUGCUAAUCCCGCAUACGUUUGGCUUGCACAGCUGGGAUUCGCUAGUUGGUGAGGUAAUGGCUCACCAAGGCGACUAUCCCUAGCUGGUGUGAGAGGAUGAUCAGCCACACUGGAACUGAGACACGGUCCAGACUCCUACGGGAGGCAGCAGUGGGGAAUAUUGCACAAUGGGGGAAACCCUGAUGCAGCCAUGCCGCGUGUGUGAAGAAGGCCUUCGGGUUGUAAAGUACUUUCAGCGAGGAGGCGGUACUCGCAGAAGAAGCACCGGCUAACUCCGUGCCAGCAGCCGCGGUAAUUC